This 496-nucleotide ribosomal RNA is filed under the name uncultured bacterium. Its description in RNAcentral is "partial 16S ribosomal RNA". It matches the Rfam family "Bacterial small subunit ribosomal RNA", at positions 28 to 507 of the family's 1533-position model. The record is from RNAcentral.
GACGAACGCUGGCGGCGUGCCUAAUACAUGCAAGUUGAGCGCUGAAGGUUGGUACUUGUACCAACUGGAUGAGCAGCGAACGGGUGAGUAACGCGUGGGGAAUCUGCCUUUGAGCGGGGGACAACAUUUGGAAACGAAUGCUAAUACCGCAUAAAAACUUUAAACACAAGUUUUAAGUUUGAAAGAUGCAAUUGCAUCACUCAAAGAUGAUCCCGCGUUGUAUUAGCUAGUUGGUGUGGUAAAGGCUCACCAAGGCGAUGAUACAUAGCCGACCUGAGAGGGUGAUCGGCCACAUUGGACUGAGACACGGCCCAAACUCCUACGGGAGGCAGCAGUAGGGAAUCUUCGGCAAUGGACGAAAGUCUGACCGAGCAACGCCGCGUGAGUGAAGAAGGUUUUCGGAUCGUAAAACUCUGUUGGUAGAGAAGAACGUUGGUGAGAGUGGAAAGCUCAUCAAGUGACGGUAACUACCCAGAAAGGGACGGCUAACUACGUG